AUGGGAAACCCUGUUGAUGCACCUAAACCCUAUCAAUGGAUAUGGAAAUCAUGCUCUUUACCAAAGCAGAAAUUCUUCUUCUGGCUCUUGUUACAAUACAAAUUAAACACUAGAGAUCUACUAAAAAGGAAGAAUUUCUACAUUGAGACUAGUAAGUGUGAAUUAUGUGAUGAUGAACCUAAUGAACAUUUAAUGCAUCUGUUUUUUAGCUGUGAUUUCAGUCAAAACUUCUGGAUGAACAUUGGCUACCAAUGGAACACUGAUCAUAACCUCAUAGAAAUGCUCCUGGAGGGAAGGAAGCAAGAUACACAUGGAUGCUUUAAAGAAUGUCUGAUUGCUGGAUGCUGGAGUCUAUGGAAACACAGAAAUAGCAUAAUUUUUUACAACAAGGUCAAAAAUAUGACAUUCUGUAUUGCCACUUUCAAGGAGCACUUAUGCAUGAUUAUAAAGAAGGCAAAACCAGGAUUGAAAGAGGGCAUGCAAAGCUGGCUAGAUCAUUUUAGACUCAUCAAUGUCAUGAAUUAUAUCCAUCAUGUAAAUCCAUAUGUAACUGCCCCCCUAUUUUAA
This 567-nucleotide ribosomal RNA is filed under the name Triticum aestivum (bread wheat). RNAcentral's name for it is "partial small subunit ribosomal RNA". Lineage: Eukaryota; Viridiplantae; Streptophyta; Magnoliopsida; Poales; Poaceae. The record is from RNAcentral.